GUUGAACGCUGGCGGCAGGCUUAACACAUGCAAGUCGAGCGGGAAUAGGUAGCUUGCUACUGAAUUCUAGCGGCGGACGGGUGAGUAAAGCUUAGGAAUCUGCCAUUUAGUGGGGGACAACAUUCCGAAAGGGAUGCUAAUACCGCAUACGUCCUACGGGAGAAAGCAGGGGAUCUUCGGACCUUGCGCUAAAUGAUGAGCCUAAGUCGGAUUAGCUAGUUGGUGGGGUAAAGGCCUACCAAGGCGACGAUCUGUAGCGGGUCUGAGAGGAUGAUCCGCCACACUGGGACUGAGACACGGCCCAGACUCCUACGGGAGGCAGCAGUGGGGAAUAUUGGACAAUGGGGGGAACCCUGAUCCAGCCAUGCCGCGUGUGCGAAGAAGGCCUUUUGGUUGUAAAGCACUUUAAGCGAGGAGGAGGCUCCUGUAGAUAAUACCUACAGUGAGUGGACGUUACUCGCAGAAUAAGCACCGGCUAACUCUGUGCCAGCCGCCGCGGUAA
This 502-nucleotide ribosomal RNA is filed under the name uncultured bacterium. Its description in RNAcentral is "partial 16S ribosomal RNA". It matches the Rfam family "Bacterial small subunit ribosomal RNA", at positions 28 to 523 of the family's 1533-position model. The record is from RNAcentral.